Molecule: ribosomal RNA, 253 nt
Filed under: uncultured bacterium
Lineage: Bacteria
Description: partial 16S ribosomal RNA
Rfam family: Bacterial small subunit ribosomal RNA
Source: RNAcentral
UACGUAGGGUGCAAGCGUUAUCCGGAAUCAUUGGGCGUAAAGCGUUGGUAGGUGGUGACGUAAGUUUGUAGUUAAAUCCGGUCGCUCAACGAUCGGCAUGCUGCGAAAACUGCGUCGCUAGAGAUUGGCAGAGGCAACUGGAAUUCCACAUGUAGGGGUAAAAUCCGUAGAUAUGUGGAGGAACACCAAAAGCGAAGGCAGGUUGCUGGGCCAUUUCUGACACUGAGCAACGAAAGCGUGGGGAGCAAACAGG